UACGGAGGAGGCAAGCGUUAUCCGGAAUUAUUGGGCGUAAAGCGUCCGCAGGUGGCGAUUCAAGUCUGCGGUCAAAGACUGGGGCUUAACCCUGGAAAGGCCGUGGAAACUGAAUAGCUAGAGUGCAGUAGGGGUAGAGGGAAUUUCCGGUGGAGCGGUGAAAUGCGUAGAGAUCGGAAAGAACACCAACGGCGAAAGCACUCUGCUGGGCCGACACUGACACUGAGAGACGAAAGCUAGGGGAGCGAAUGGG
Molecule: ribosomal RNA, 253 nt
Filed under: uncultured bacterium
Lineage: Bacteria
Description: partial 16S ribosomal RNA
Rfam family: Bacterial small subunit ribosomal RNA
Source: RNAcentral